GUCCCCGUAGCUCAAUGGAUAGAGCACAUGCCUUCUAAGCCUGUUAUCCAGGUUCGAUUCCUGGCGGGGACA
Molecule: transfer RNA, 72 nt
Filed under: Elusimicrobiota bacterium
Lineage: Bacteria; Pseudomonadati; Elusimicrobiota
Description: Elusimicrobia bacterium (groundwater metagenome) tRNA-Arg
Rfam family: tRNA
About the family: Transfer RNA (tRNA) molecules are approximately 80 nucleotides in length. Their secondary structure includes four short double-helical elements and three loops (D, anti-codon, and T loops).
Source: RNAcentral